UACAGAGGUCUCAAGCGUUGUUCGGAUUCAUUGGGCGUAAAGGGUGCGUAGGCGGCUUGGUAAGUGUGGUGUGAAAUCUCCCGGCUCAACUGGGAGGGUGCGCUACAAACUGCCGGGCUAGAGUGCGGGAGAGGAGAGUGGAAUUCCUGGUGUAGCGGUGAAAUGCGUAGAUAUCAGGAGGAACACCGGUGGUGUAAACGGCUCUCUGGACCGUAACUGACGCUGAGGCACGAAAGCGUGGGUAGCAAACAGG
This 253-nucleotide ribosomal RNA is filed under the name uncultured bacterium. RNAcentral describes it as "partial 16S ribosomal RNA". It matches the Rfam family "Bacterial small subunit ribosomal RNA", at positions 524 to 776 of the family's 1533-position model. The record is from RNAcentral.